GAUGAAGAACGUAGCAAAAUGCGAUAAGUAAUGUGAAUUGCUGAAUUCAGUGAAUCAUCGAAUCUUUGAACGCACAUUGCGCCCGCUGGUAUUCCGGCGGGCAUGCCUGUUCGAGCGUCAUUUCAACCCUCAAGCCCCCGGGUUUGGUGUUGGGGAUCGGCUCUGCCCUUCUGGGCGGUGCCGCCCCCGAAAUACAUUGGCGGUCUCGCUGCAGCCUCCAUUGCGUAGUAGCUAACACCUCGCAACUGGAACGCGGCGCGGCCAUGCCGUAAAACCCCAACUUCUGAAUGUUGACCUCGGAUCAGGUAGGAAUACCCGCUGAACUUAAGCAUAUCAAUAAGCGGAGGA
Molecule: unclassified non-coding RNA, 348 nt
Filed under: soil metagenome
Description: partial contains 5.8S ribosomal RNA, internal transcribed spacer 2, and large subunit ribosomal RNA
Rfam family: 5.8S ribosomal RNA (bases 1-120)
Source: RNAcentral